Molecule: ribosomal RNA, 255 nt
Filed under: uncultured bacterium
Lineage: Bacteria
Description: partial 16S ribosomal RNA
Rfam family: Bacterial small subunit ribosomal RNA
Source: RNAcentral
UACGUAGGGUGCAAGCGUUAAUCGGAAUUACUGGGCGUAAAGCGUGCGCAGGCGGUUGUGCAAGACAGAUGUGAAAUCCCCGGGCUCAACCUGGGAAUUGCAUUUGUGACUGCACGGCUAGAGUGUGUCAGAGGGGGGUAGAAUUCCACGUGUAGCAGUGAAAUGCGUAGAGAUGUGGAGGAAUACCGAUGGCGAAGGCAGCCCCCUGGGAUAACACUGACGCUCAUGCACGAAAGCGUGGGGGAGCAAACAGGA